This 200-nucleotide unclassified non-coding RNA is filed under the name Cladorrhinum sp. Its description in RNAcentral is "partial internal transcribed spacer 2". Lineage: Eukaryota; Fungi; Ascomycota; Sordariomycetes; Sordariales; Podosporaceae. The record is from RNAcentral.
UUAAGUUCAGCGGGUAUUCCUACCUGAUCCGAGGUCAACCUUUGAUUGUAGGGGUUUUUACGGCCGGAAGCCCGCCGCGCGACCGGAGCGAGGUGUAUGCUACUACGCUCGGUGCUACAGCGAGACCGCCACUGUCUUUCAGGGCCCGCGGCAGCCGCGGGUCCCCAACACAAGCCCGGGGGGCUUGAUGGCUGAAAUGA